GUAGGUGGCAAGCGUUGUCCGGAAUUAUUGGGCGUAAAGCGCGCGCAGGCGGCUCUUUAAGUCUGAUGUGAAAGCCCACGGCUCAACCGUGGAGGGUCAUUGGAAACUGGAGAACUUGAGUACAGAAGAGGAAAGCGGAAUUCCACGUGUAGCGGUGAAAUGCGUAGAGAUGUGGAGGAACACCAGUGGCGAAGGCGGCUUUCUGGUCUGUAACUGACGCUGAGGCGCGAAAGCGUGGGGAGCAAACAGGAUUAGAUACCCUGGUAGUCCACGCCGUAAACGAUGAGUGCUAAGUGUUAGGGGGUUUCCGCCCCCCUUAGUGCUGCAGCUAACGCAUUAAGCACUCCGCCCUGGGAGUACGGCCGCAAGGCUG
RNAcentral lists this ribosomal RNA (373 nucleotides) under uncultured organism. RNAcentral's name for it is "partial 16S ribosomal RNA". It matches the Rfam family "Bacterial small subunit ribosomal RNA", at positions 527 to 896 of the family's 1533-position model. The record is from RNAcentral.